This 332-nucleotide ribosomal RNA is filed under the name uncultured bacterium. RNAcentral describes it as "bacterial SSU rRNA". It matches the Rfam family "Bacterial small subunit ribosomal RNA", at positions 471 to 793 of the family's 1533-position model. The record is from RNAcentral.
GACGUUAGCUGCAGAAGAAGCACCGGCUAACUCCGUGCCAGCAGCCGCGGUAAUACGGAGGGUGCGAGCGUUAAUCGGAAUUACUGGGCGUAAAGACGCAUGCAGGUGGUUUGUUAAGUUCAGAUGUGAAAGACCCGGGGCGUCAACCUCGGAAUAGCAUUUGUAAACUAGGCAGACUAGAGUACUGUAGAGGGGGGUAGGAAUUUCAGGUGUAGCGGUGAAAUAGCGUAGAGAUCUGAAGGAAUACCGGUGGCGAAGGCGGCCCCCUCGGACAGAUACUGACACUCAGAUGCGAAAGCGUGGGGAGCAAACAGGAUUAGAUACCCUGGUAG